RNAcentral lists this long non-coding RNA (204 nucleotides) under Lathyrus oleraceus (garden pea). RNAcentral describes it as "Pisum sativum (pea) long non-coding RNA (PSAT_LNC038393)". The record is from RNAcentral. Lineage: Eukaryota; Viridiplantae; Streptophyta; Magnoliopsida; Fabales; Fabaceae.
AGAUCAAUAAUAUUGACAACACCUUUUCUACACCCACACAUGCUUCAACCUCGUUUCCAAGACCUUAUAUCCUAUUCUUCGACUCAGAAGUUUAACAAUCAUUCCUCUCCUCCAUGGCCGAUGAAUUCGCUUCUCUUCCAUUACAUAUAGACAUUCAUAGUCCCCAACAUUACAUAUUUUGAGGAAUACAUUUUAAAAACUUAG